This is a non-coding RNA of Gossypium raimondii (Peruvian cotton), 145 nucleotides long. NCBI's taxonomy places the organism in Eukaryota, Viridiplantae, Streptophyta, Magnoliopsida, Malvales, Malvaceae. The record is from Rfam.
UAUUAAAACUUUCAUCCAUUUGUACUGUUAAAAACUAGUGUGGCUAACUGAAUAACCAGACAGUAACACGUGGUGUGCCAUGUAUACUUUAUGAUGACAUAUAGAAACUAAUUUUUAACUGUAGAAAUUGAUGAAAUUUUUAACA